RNAcentral lists this long non-coding RNA (540 nucleotides) under Ananas comosus (pineapple). RNAcentral's name for it is "long non-coding RNA (ACOM_LNC021072)". The record is from RNAcentral. Lineage: Eukaryota; Viridiplantae; Streptophyta; Magnoliopsida; Poales; Bromeliaceae.
UAGCUCUUGACCUAUGAGCGGGGUAGCUCUUGACCUAUGAGUUUGAGUUAGAGUCAGGGCGAAGAGCGGGGUAGCUCUUGCCCUUAGGCAUUUGAGUAUGAGUUGGGCGAGGAGCGGGAUAGCUCUUCACCUAUAGGAGUUGAGAUCUGAGUCGGGUAAGAGCGGGGUAGCUCUUUACCUAGUGUUAGAAUUGCGAGACGGGUGAGACAAGAGCGGGGUAGCUCUUCACCUAUGUGGAUUUGAAGUCUUAGGUGGGGUAGCCUAAUGGAUUGGGUAAUGACAUGGAUGGCAUAAGCGGAAUUGCAUUCAUACCAUGAUUAGACAUAGUACACUGCAUAACUAUGUUGUAGUUGUAUUUAUUUCAUUGUUAAAGCAUACUAACAUGAUAAAUGAUGUUGCAUGCAUUCCUUGCAUUUGGUGGCAUGGUAGAUAUAGUAGCAGUUUAUUUCCAUAUAUCUCUCUAUCUAUCUAUCUGUGCCAGCUUAGACCUAGUGGGAAGAUCGGCGGAGUCGGCGGCCGAACCCACUAGGAACUGUAUUU